UGAACUACCAAACUGUUCAAAUUUUGCUCCAACAAUCCCCAACCCACGGCAAACUGAUAAGAUAGAGCGUGAGAAUUAGGAUUUGUGAGCAUAACAACUAAGAGAAACCAACUGUUGAAUUUACCAGUGAUACCAAUGCAUGCUUCAGAUGAAUUUACCAAUUGAUAACGUUUGUAAAGUGCUUUCUUACCUGUGCUCUAACAAUAUUUCAGUCACUGAGCAACAAUGUUUUCUAGCAAUUAAACAUUUUCAGCGUCUCUUACUUGAAACGAGUUAUAAAGAGAAUUAAGAGAAAGGAAGAGUAAAUGCGCAACUGGUGUCAAAUAUUGUAAACAUUAAUUUAGGAUUGUAUUGACUUCGAGUAUACCAUAUAUUCAAUAAACAUACAUAUGCAUGUAUAAAUUUCGUUAAACUACAUAUAUAUGUAUCUGUACGAGAACAUUAAAACAUCAUCACCAUUGACAAUAUUUUAAUUUUUGUGGGUAUAUAGGCAGCUAAAACCUAUUGUGAAAAAUAGAAUUGAACAAUAUAAAAAUAAAUAUGAAGAGUUUGAACUUUUAGAGGACUACUCUUGAAUUCAUUUACAUGGUCAAUAAAAUGCACUUCAAUUCUUUCGUUCACAUUUCUCUGUCAGUUGUUGCGGGUGCUGGUGAUUUUACUUUGCUUUUGUAUCUCUUCCACACUACUCAUUUUCCUGACAUGGCGGGGUACUGUGAAACGAAUAAAAAUGACAUGUUCAGCCUCAAUGGCCCCGGCAACCAUUGCCCUAACAAUAAUAGCGGAAUAAGUAAAAGCAAUGAAGUAACAAACUUGGCAUGCAUGCGAAACACUGUGUGGCUGAAUGUGGAAUUAAGUCAAAAUCGGGUUGAGUUGUAGAAGGGAAUGAGGAUCAGCGGGUUGGCACUGUUGUACUCGGUCGUAGCCUGUAUUAGCAUUAAGUGCUUGUGCGCAUUAUAAGCUUUGCAAUAACUACAAG
This is a long non-coding RNA of Zeugodacus cucurbitae (melon fly), 976 nucleotides long. RefSeq lists it as uncharacterized. Lineage: Eukaryota; Metazoa; Arthropoda; Insecta; Diptera; Tephritidae. The transcript has 3 exons. The record is from RefSeq and is a predicted model, not a curated record.